RNAcentral lists this long non-coding RNA (12176 nucleotides) under Brassica napus (rape). RNAcentral describes it as "long non-coding RNA (BNAP_LNC027077)". The record is from RNAcentral. Lineage: Eukaryota; Viridiplantae; Streptophyta; Magnoliopsida; Brassicales; Brassicaceae.
UUUUGGCAUUCGAGCAUGCAAGAAGAGCUUUCAGGGUCGUCAAACCCGUCAAAGUUGGGCCUUGUCUCACAUAACAACAACACACCUAUCAUACAUUUCAAUUUGUCAGACUGGUAAGAAGCUCCUCACUGCUUUAACUAUGACUAGUAGAACGUUAGCAACUAGACUUAUCCUAAACAGAGUUUUCGUACAGACAAUUAUGCUGUUCUCCAAUGAUCAAGCUGAUGAAAACAUAAAAGAUAAUUUUACUGCAAAAAAGAAGCUAGAGAAGGAGAGACCACUGCUUGUACAUGGAAGAGAUGAUAAUAAUACAAAACUGUUGAUAUAUACAUGUGUAGAGGAAUCAUUUCACAAGGAACAUUUGUUGUAAUUUAGUACCUUGAUCGAAAUGUAAUAUGUAAAAUACAAGACAUAAUAAAUCUCAAUUGAAACUUUACAUGUAUUUUUUACAAGUUCUAUAUGCUAUCUAUAAAGGAUUAAGCGCUUAAGAUAAUUGAAUAAGAAUAACCACUAAGAAAACAACACAAUUUAAUGCAGUAGAAAUUCUUGGUCUUUGAUUAAACAUUCUAUGUUUCAUGAAUCUUCACCAUGUUGUUGUAAUAUAUGAAAGCCAUGUAUGAAGGUUAUAGCUUCUAGUUACAAAACAAGAGCUAGUUCUAAAAAUAAGAAGUACAAAGAAAACAUAACAAAGAGAUGAGAAGAGGACAUGCCUGAUACUGCUUCUGUCUGAAACCAAAGCUCAAAAAUCAUCUUCCGUGGAUGAUGUCUUGUUUUCUUCUUUUCUUUUCUUGUAACAGCUUUGUUGAAUGAUCUUGUUCUGUAAAACUAGAAAGAGCUUUUAGAGAGAGAGAGAGCAAAAUGAGUAGAGAUUCUGAUAUGCUCAAAGUAAUAUUCAUUCAUGCAAAAUAUUCCCACGGCAUAUACCCCCUUUCACGAUCAUUGUUUACGGUUUGCGAACCUUUCCUCAAUUCACAUCGUAAUGAAAAGUCUUGGGCCAGAGGCCCAUUAAGCCCCUUUUGCUGAUUCUCUCUUUUAUUUUUUGGGUACAACCUCCAUUGACAGAAGGAAGGAAGCAGCAAAAAAACAUGGCUGCAACUGGUCCUCGAACUGCGCCUUUCAACCAAAAUUGGGAUUUCAGCUGGUAUGUUCAGCUUCUGGUUUCUCUGUAUCUAGUGAUAGAACAUACUAAUUCAAUUAUUCAAAUCUUGAGUCUGGCAAGUUUGAAGGAAUCUCUUUGAUUUUAGAGUCCAAAGUUUCGAUCUUUACCCACAUUAACAGCCUAUACGACCUAAUUUCAUUAUCUCCGCUCAUUUAGAUUAUUUCGCACUUACUUUUGUACGAGUUUGCCCUUUGAGGAUCACACUGUUAUAGACUUGAUGAAAUUUUUCAAUUUGAUUUUUUUUUUUUUUGUGGUAGAAAGUUUCGGGCUGUGAUUAUCUUGUAAGAGUUUUUUUUGUAUGGGCUAAAUUUGCAGCAACUUGGAUGUGAAUUUCGAAACGGAACAACAAGCUUUCAUUGCGUACACAUCAUUGGCUGUUGAUAAAGAGGUUUGAAAGUUUCUCAAUUCACUCUUGUUAUAGUUUCUUAUGCUGUGACCGUUAAUGCAGUUGCAGCCUGAUAAGGUGAGAAGAGUCAUGUCCGUAUCAAACAACAAGCUUUCUGUGUGAGUUUCUCAAAGUUAAUCUAUCCUGCUUAAAUCGUUUUAAAACUGAUUGAUGCCUAAUUGGAAAUCUUUCGGGUCCGUUUACUAGUUUUUUUUUUAUAUUUGCUCAUUGGAUAACUUUACAGCCACUUUGAGGCAAUAGAGGCAAGGCUUCUUCGAGCAUCCUUCUCUGCGUUUCUUGACGUUCUUACACUGGCCACAAGAACAAUUCAAGAAUUUGGGCAAUUCUGAAAGCACCAAUGUGUAGACGAAUGUUGAUUCUUUCUCUUUGUCCCUUCAAGAAUUCAAUUAUUGUAGUGUUUAUCAAGCAGUGUAUUGUUAUGUUGUGGCUGAAUCGAAGUGUAAAAUAUAUUACAUUUAAAGCUUAUGAUUUUGACUAGGUUUGCGACUUGCGAGAUCGGUUAGAAUGGUUUGUUUGGUUUGGGUGAUUCGGUUUCUUUUCUUUUCUCUAUGAGUUUCAAUCUCAACAAGUAAGAAUUGAUGCUUCUGAAUUUCGUUUUCAUUUUGGAAAAGAAUGCAUUUGGAUUUUGAUGUAUGUAUUUUAUAAGUUUCUUGACCAUCAAUGAUGGUCAUUAACCUGGUUAACAUGAUGAGCUCUCAUUUGUAAGAAUCCCGAGCUAGUAUUCUAAUUUUGAAGAAUUCAAUGACCAUGGAUUUUCCAAUAUAUAUAUAUGCUCAUCAAGGUCUACACUCCCAAAAAAAACAAUUACGUAGAUCUCAAACAAGAAGUUUAUUUUCAAAAAUCAAUUACAUGGAUCUAAAACAAGAAGUUUAUUUCUGGAAAAACAAUGACAUAUUUAUUUUCAAACUCCAUAUAAUGUAGUUUAUUUCCAAACUCCAUUAAAUCAUCUGAUUGUUAGUUAAGGUGUUGGUGUUUCUCACAAUGCAUGUAGAAUCCGACUCAUAUGAUGGUCCUCAACAGAUCAUUACUUUCAGUAACAUAUUUGCAGUGACUUCUGUUUUGCUAUAAACCUCUAUCCAGGACUUAGAAUUGUUAGUAUAUUAUUAGAAAUUUAUUUAGCUCCUUAUUGUGUUUGAGGUACUUGGUGUAAGUGGUGUAAAACCCUUUUUCCUAAAAUGAUCUUUAUGCUUUCCAGGGAUGAAUUCAACCAGGAAGAUAUGGAAUUGGUUCAGUUUGUGAUCAAUAUAUUCAGGAAUUUACCGACUAUCCAUGAUAUUCCACCGCUUCAAAAGGCUAGAGAAUUCAUUGGUUAAUUUCUGUGGCUGAGGGUCAGUUUCUUGAACUCAUGUCCAGUGAAAACGGAUGGACAUAUUUCUUAUAAUUAUUCUGUCUACCGAGAGUUCUAACAGCUUGUCACUCAGUCUAGUGACUAGUUGUUCAAUCCAAACAAGUUUUCCUUUUCCAUUUCUUACUUAUUCUUUCCGGUUGCUAAUGCAGUUUUGCAAUUAUUUCUCUUAAUUCCUUUACAAUUUAGAUAACAGAGAACAAAAUUAUACUACUAAUAUGUAUUUCAGACUUUAUUAUUGCUAUUGGUUUGCAGUAAAUCUGCUUCUUAAAAGAUAAAACUUUUUUUGCUUGAAUAAUCUGUAUUUAUAGUUUCAUAUGCUAUUUUCGCUUGCUUAGAUGAUUUUGAAUUUCAUAAAACUUUUAUAAAUGUGUCAAUCUGUAUGUACUAUGUACACCAGUAAAAGUUUUGUGUUUCUUUACCAAUAUGCUAUUUUGAAGUGAUUUUGUAAGACUAAGCAUUCUAUUCUCUAAACUCGGUGUUGAUCAAUCGUUUUAAAACUUCCGAAUAUGUAAUAAAUAACUGAAUAUCUUUAUUUGUAUUUUAAGUCUGGUUUAGGCAUUCUUUACGCCUAUAUGCAUUCUACGUUCUUUAAUUUAAAGGCUUACUGAACAGGUUGUAAAAAAAGAAUUGUAUACGUGACUUUGUCUAUGUAACUUAGUAUUCAUAACUGGUUGACCAAACCAUUCGACAAAUAUAUGGAUAUUUGCUGACAAGAAACAAGACCAAGGACAAUAAUUAACAAAACCCUCUCUAAUGUCCAGGAGAUACUUAUGUCUCAGUGUUAUUAAUUAUACCUCGUGUUGUAAUCAAUAGACGACCAACAAACAUUCCCUUCGAGAUUUGAGAGAUUCAUAUCAUUAAUUGCAUUUCUCAAACUACACGAUUAAAACCUUAUUUCGAGUAUCUCAGACGUAACCCAUAAAAAGACAGGACAUGAGGAGAUAAGUCUCUCGAAAGUGGCCUCUUUGGGAUUCAUCAUAGAUAUUAAGUGCAAAAUCCUCAGACUAGGUAAGUAAAUAAACUCUGAAUCACGCAAGAAGACGCCAUCGAGUUUUAAAGAUACCAGUGUCUCGCAGACAUAAAGGCUUAGGGGCAUCCCAUGAAAAUAAGCCCUAAACCGCCUGUAACAAAAUUUAGGGAUAUGAGGACUAUCUGGAUCAGUCCGAACAUCUAGAUGUUGGAUCUUUCGCUUAACUGCUGCAUCAAUCCAUGGUGUGACGUAAGAAUUGUAAUAAUCUACACCUUUAUUCGAAUCUACACCUUAAUUUGACUCCACAUCUAACUCAACUUUGUCUAUGCUUGAAACCCUGUCGGAAUCGAAAAACCUGUCACCAAAAUUAACCAAGGCAUCUUUUUUCUGGAAGACUCGAUAAUUCAAUCCUAAACGAGGAACCCAAAGCCAGAGAGUCCUCCAUCUGGUGGACAGAACACUCGUUCUUACAGCAUCCUUUGUGGGAAGAUGAUAAAGUACUCGACAGAUCAAAGGAUCAGGCAAUUCGCUUAUCCUAUCUAGUUCAUUAUUAAGCCACACUUCCGGUUUUCUUCUUCUAGCCAUAUAUAUUUCUUUUGUUCUGAACUGUUUUGUCUGCAUAACAAAAAUUGGAAACCAAAGUUUCAAUAAGGAUGGAUUCCAAGGUUCACUAGAAGAUGAAUCAAACAAGACCACAACGAGACUAGUCAGCCUAGGGUUUAUUUCUUGUAAUAAGAAAAGUGGAUGAAAAACCGAAUGUUCGAUCAAAAGAAAUGAAAUCACUUACUCCCGUCACAAUUGGCGAAGAGAAAGGAAAGAUUCAGAUUGUCUGGGAAUUUGGAGUCUCUAGCCAGAGUAGAGUGCUUUGAUCUGAAAGAAAAAUGUUAAUUUAUGUUUUUGUUUGUUUGAAAGUUUAUGUUUUUUUAAGACACCCUCAAUGAGGGGUUUUAAGAGAGUAUUUAUAAUAAUAAUAUAAUAAAAAUUGAAAAAUCUAUAAUAUAAUAGGAGAGUUUCUCUCCUCCUAAGCCGACACGUCAGCAUUUUGGUGGGUCUCACUUUUAAAAAGUGUGAAAAAAUAUCAAGUCUGUGGCUCGAACCCGGAUUAUUGAGAUAUAAACUACAACAUUUAUACCACUGAACUAAAAGAUACUUUGUACAUUGAUAGCCGAAACUAAUAUAUAUUUAUGAAGGUCGGAAACCUUUGCUUCUUCGGUAUUCUCUGUGGGCCGGGCCUACAAAUGUAUUAUGAGUUUCAUUUUUAAAUGAGGUUCAUCACGUUAUAUGAAAAAAAAAACAAUUAUAGUUUUUCCAUAUUGUAAACUGUCUUCGUUUAACAUGAGUUAGGGUUCUUUUCAUUAUCUAUGCGUUCUAAUAAUAGUUUCACGCCUUCAGCAAGUUGUGGGACCCACGUUCAAUUUAGUUUGGUGAUUUAUUUCUCACGUUCAAUUUAGUUUGGUGAUAACUACAAAUUCUGAUGCCUGAGAUGGUAUUUUUACUUAGAGGAAGCUCAGAAACAAGAGUUUCUGCAGAAGAGUUUGGUUUCUUGAAAGAGACAUGUCACAGAUACGGUGAACACGGUCCAGUGCUACAUUCCAGGUGUAUCGAUUGUUUCAAAACGUUACCUUUGGCAUAUGUACUAUCAGAUAGUGUCUACACAACUCAUGGAGGCCUCUUUCAAAGCUCCUCUCGGGUCCAUGAAGAUAGCACUUUAUUGUUGGGUUCAUUAGAAGAACUUGACAAGGUUGACAUGAGACAAGUUGGUGAGAAUGAUGAUGGGAAUAUAACUCUUAACCAUGUUUUAUGGUCAUGUCUGUGGAUGGCUGAUGGUCUGAGCGAAAGUAAUUAUAAGGGACUUCUUUAGGGAGCUGAUUGCACUGAGAGUUUUCUAAAACAAUCGAGCUUAAAAGGUAAAUGUAAAGCUUCUAAUGAUGUUUUCAUUUGUGAUUAUAUAAACUUUAAUGUGUUUAUUUUUACCGUCUUUAGAUGAUUAUAAGAUCACAUGAAGGCCCUGAUGCAAGAUCAAAUCGAGAAUACAUGGGAAACAUGCUAUGCGGAUACUCAGUAGAUCAUGGAGUAGAAUCUGGAGAGCUUUAUACAAUCUUCAGUGCUUCACAUCUCUCACAAGUCACUUCCCUUAAACAAAGAGAAUCCGAAUGCAACCUGUUCUACUGCUUUUCUAACUGUCUAUAUUCACUCCACAUCUUCCACAUGAAUUGUUAUUAUUACUCUUCUUAACUACUACUAAAGAUGAAUAGUUUCUCAACAGAUUCUCUUUUCUACUGUUUCAGUUAUCAUCAUCUGACUACUAUAAAUGUGUUGCUUACAACGCCUGCAGCCCUCAUAACAAUUCCCUAAACAGAUCUGUAUUCUCAUUUGCUCUUCCUCACUGUAUUUUUUUUUUUAAAUUCCUUCCUCACUAUUUCAACUUGAGGUUGAGAAACUUCUGUUUCUUGAGAUCAAAACCAGCAAUGUGCUUAUUGGCAUGGUUAAUACUGGAGCUGUAAGGUGCACCGUCUAUGGUAAGAUUUAUGAUUAAUUUCUUGCUAUAUUUUAAUAUUUGUAAAUCAUGAAAAGUGACAGUUCAAAUAUUUUUUUUCCUUCUGCUGUUUUAUUGGACAUCUUUUGGACAUUUCUGUUUCCACAAUAGGCACAAGCUUUAGUGUAGGUGGUAUCUCAGCUGCCUCUUUCCUAUGUUUAUUAAACCAUUCAGCCAUUUUUGCAAUGAUGACAUCAAACAUUGGUAGCAAGGUGAACUUUCUUGCUUCCUUAAUUACACCAUUAAAAGAUUCCACUGAAUUGGUGGUGUCAACAUUGUACCUAUCUCCUUCAAAGUAACAUCUAGCCCAUUUCCUCUCUUCAACAUUUUUGUCAAGAUACUCCGCUGCAGAAGGAUACCUUCUGCGAAAAGCAUCAUAAAGGUUCAAGAACUCAGCCACUGUAUAAGCGUGUGCGCACUCCAUAAACUUAAAUGCACAAGUGUCUCUGUGGUUACGGACGUGGCCUUUAACAUUUUGAGACAAAUGCCAUAUACAAUACCCAUGAGCGGCCUGAGGGAACACUGCACCUACUGCAUUGAUCAAGCUUUUGUUUCUAUCUGAAAGAAAUACCAAUCCCGGGACAUCUCCUAUCACUGAUUUCAACUGUUCCAUAAACCACAUCCAGCUAUCAUUUUUUUCACCAUCUGCUACACCGAAAGCAAUUGGGUAGGUGUGAUGAUCAGGAUCCUGAGCAGCCGCAACAAUUAGAACUCCACCAUAAACAUUCUUGAGGUGUGUUGCAUCCACAAUGAGGACUUUCCUCAUCGCGCUGAACCCUUCUAUGCUAGCUCCCAAGGCAAAAAACAGAUACUUAAAUUUGUUGGCCUCAUCCACUACCACACGAGUUACAGUGUCAGGAUUCGUCUUCAUCAUUCCAGAUAUAUGAUGGCUUGUUCCAAUUCAAUACCAUUGGGAAGUAACUAAUCCUCGCUUCCAUCUUAGAUUCAUCUACCUUGAUCUUUCUGAAAAUACGCUCAACCAAACAAGUGUAUGUCACCUCCUCCACUGAUUUUUUCAACACAAUCGUGUGAAUUUCAUCUUCACCUUCACCAUCUCCUGAUAUCCAUUUUAUUUCAGCCCCAUCUUUCAUAUAAUAUCCCCCGUAAUCAAAACAAAUGAUUGUGCAAUGCGGAUUUUGCAUUUUUCCUGAAAUAAAAUGGAAUAUCAUAAAAAUUAUCAAUAUUAAGGCAAAUAUUUCAUUCUCACACCCUACAGUCUUCUCUCGCUAAUACUAGUUCUUUUAAAUCUACAAACAAAGUAAUACCCGUAAUACUAGUAGAACUAGUAAACAUAGUAAUAUCAGUAAUACCAGUAAAUCUAUUUUUUCUUAGUAAAACUAGUUAUCUUUGUAAUACCCAGAAAUUGUCCUUCCACUAACUAAUAAACUAUUAAAGACGAAUUUGUUCGGAUAUUUACUCUAUCUUAAUGAGAUUAAAAGGAAUUAAACAAAUAAAAAUCAUCAAAAACAGACUUAAAUAUAUAUAUAUAUAUCUCCAUCUAAAACCCAUAAACAUAGUUUCAUGAGUACAUUUUUAACAUUACCUAUCAUAUACACUACAUUUAAAUGAUAUUUUUUAAAACAUUUAAUCAGAAAAGUACAUAAAAUAACCUAAUAUCAACUAACACAGUAUUCAAAAUCGUCCUUAAAAUCUCAAAUUUUUCAUGAAAUCUUAUAUUUUAAACAUUACCCUUGAUAUAUGCUAUAUUUAAAUGAUAUUUCUUAAAAAAAUCAUCAAAAACGAACUUUAAAUACCUGUUUUAGAAGCUUCAAAAUCGCCUAUGGAAAAUGAAGAAAAAGAGCUGUACGUACGAAGAGCAGUGGGAGAGUGAAGAUAUGUGGGGCCAUCUUCAAUUUCAUUGGUUAAGGUUGUUUGUGGGCCAUGAAGAUGGUUGAUUUAUUUAAUUCAAGAUAUAAAUGUUAUGAGGUGGAUGAUAUAUAAUAAAUAAAUGGAAGGUUAGUUUAGGGUUUGCAAAUACAAAAGGGUAUUGAGAAUAGAGAAGGGAUAUGGAGAAUAGAUAUUUUCCAAUAAGGGCGUCUGAGAAUAAAGUCCACUCUCUCUCUAUAAAGAAGAAAAUAAAAGUCUUUUUUCUUUUUUCUCUUUUCAUCUUCUCCUUCCUGUUGCUGAAUCCGAAUAACAUCACCCAGAUUUCUCAGGCAGACAAACAUCAUUGAGCAAAAACGAUGCCGUAUUGCGAGGUCGCGAAAGAACAAGUCGUCGACGCAGAGACGACGCUGAAGAACAAUGCGGGGGUCAAGAUAUUCUACAGAACGUACGGUCACGGUCCUACCAAAGCUCUUCUCAUCAUAGGUAGAACUCUCUUUCUGCAAGCUUGAUUUCAAUUGGGUUUUCGAUUUAAAUGCUUAAAGUUUUCUCCUUUUUCGUUCAGGUUUAGCUGGAACACAUGAAUCGUGGGGUCCUCAGAUCAAGGGAUUAACGGGGACGGAUAAACCCAACGACGAAGAUGGAGACGUUUCCGAUGAUUCAGGGAUUGGCCAAGGCAUGGAGGUUUGCGCUUUCGACAAUCGUGGUAUGGGUCGAAGCUCCGUGCCCUCCCACAAAUCUGAAUACACGUAAGUCUCUAUACUUGAGAACCUGUCUGUAGUUAGAGAGCUGGUCGGAGCUAUAGAUAAUUAAGAGUUUAUAUUUUUUUUUUUUUUUACAAAUUUGAGGAGUUGUAUAUAAUUAAAAAAAUUCCAAUUUUUUUUUGGGAGUAGACCCUUUCUUUUUACUUGGAUUCAACAAAUUGUGAAGUUGGUUUUGUUUGGUUUUUGUUUGUGUCCUCUCAGAACAACUAUAAUGGCAAAGGAUUCAAUUAGUUUGUUGGAUCAUUUGGGAUGGGAGAGAGCUCACAUUAUUGGGCACUCGAUGGGUAAGUUUUUUUUCCAGACAAUUCAAGUGACUUUUGUUUGUUUUCUUCCUUCUUAGUUCUUACUGUUGUUCUCUUGGUGGCUUUUUGAUGAAACAGGAGCAAUGAUAGCUUGUAAGUUAGCUGCAAUGGUGCCGGAACGGGUUCUUUCUCUAGCGUUGCUUAACGUUACUGGUGGAGGUUUCGAGUGUUUCCCCAAGGUAACACACAUGGCGCUGUUUCUUGAAUCUUCCUUCUUUGAUAGCUAUAUGGUUUUGUUCAUAUGUGUUGUUGGAUCUUUUUGGUUUCUUAUAUGUAAAAAGUGAUUUGUUUUUAUGUGCUACAGCUUGACAGGCUAACACUUUCCAUUGCGAUACGUUUCUGGAUGGCAAAGACCCCUAAACAAAGAGCUAAAGUUGAUUUGGACACACAUUAUUCACAGGUGGCGGUUUUCUCUGUGGUGUGCCGAAAUUCUAUAAGAACCACAUUUACAUAGACCAGUUGUUUAAUAGAUUUGAUGAUUGGAGUUCUGGAAAAUGGCUUGUAUUGUUGGAGGAGGAAUGUUUUAUUACAAUUUUCUUUCUAUGUAAAGUUUGAUGCUGUAUUCUCUGUACGGUUGUUAAGAGCGACUAGAUGAUUGCUUUGGUUGAUACAUUGAAUCAUAUAUUGGUUACAAAAUUGUAUGUGUGAUGAUGUUAUUAUAAAUGCAGGAUUUUCUGGCAGAACGAAUAGGAACUAACACAAGGCGAGAUGUUUUAUAUGAGGUGAGCAUACUGGUUUCAUGCGGAGAAAUAAUGAUAUUAUGAUCAAAGAUAACUAAUGUUUGAGGGAUGCCAAAUGCAGCAAUACGUAAAAGGAAUAUCAGAAACUGGAAUGCAGUCCAAGAACGGGCUUGACGGCCAGCUUAAUGCUUGCUGGUUACAUAAAAUCACAAAACCAGAGAUCGAAUGGAUCCGCUCUGCUGGAUUUCUUGUCUCAGUCAUUCACGGAAGGUAUGUUACAACAGAUGCAGUUAGGAUACAGAAUCAUCUCAUGCUUUGAAGAAUCUUUUACGUGUACACAAGGGUUGAUUUUUGAGUAUUGUUUUGUAUGCAGACAUGAUGUCAUUGCUCAGAUACCUCACGCGAGAAGAUUGGCACAGAGGCUGUAUCCUGUUGCUAGAAUGGUGGAUCUUCAUGGUGGUCAUCUUGUUAGCCACGAGAGAACAGAUGAGGUACCCUUUUUUUGUUCCUGUUUACUGUCAUGUCUUUAACUUCUCUGUCUCUCUUGCGUCUGUUGUUAUAUAAAGACUUGAACACUAACAAGUCUUUGCUUCCUUAACCUUCUAUAGUCUGCAGUAAAUGUUUGUGGAUAUCAUAAUCCGAUUUGACCGUAACUUAUCAUAAAAGAUAAAAGACGGAACUAGAAUCAUUUCAUAAUCUGAAAACAAGCCUCUAUUUGGAAGAAAAUCGUCUUCUUAGUAGCUGAUCGACCAUUGUGAUUUGUAAUCAAUACUAUGUUAUGUAAACCUUGUUGUUAGUUUUGAUAGCAAACUAUAAAAGACUUACCAGGCUCUUGAGUUCUUUGUAAGAAUAGGCAUUGCUAUAAUAAAUGGUAGAGGGAACAAAUGUUUUUCUUGCUCUUGUCUGUACCUCUCUUAUAUCUCCUCAGAACCUGGAAGAAAGGAUUGAACAUGCAUUACUGAUCAGUUUUGCAGGUUAAUAAAUCUCUUAUGGAGUUAAUAAAGGCGUCAGAAAUGAAGAAAGCACCAACCGAUUGGACUAACCUGACACCUGAAACUCCCGGUAUAAGAGUUGCACAAGUAUCCACUCUUUCAGACCGUUGUUCUUCAUUUUCGAAGCUUGUUCUGAGACUAAUAUCAACGUUUCCUUUCAGGUUAUUUCACGAGGAGAAUAGCAUUGAUUAGAACCUCAUCAGAAGGCAAGAAUGCGGUCUCUCCUCCAUCUUUCAUCAUGGAAAAGUUUCAUCGAUGUCUACUUUUCCUCUUAGGGCUUCUGGUUUUGGCAUUCGAGCAUGCAAGAAGAGCUUUCAGGGUCGUCAAACCCGUCAAAGUUGGGCCUUGUCUCACAUAACAACAACACACCUAUCAUACAUUUCAAUUUGUCAGACUGGUAAGAAGCUCCUCACUGCUUUAACUAUGACUAGUAGAACGUUAGCAACUAGACUUAUCCUAAACAGAGUUUUCGUACAGACAAUUAUGCUGUUCUCCAAUGAUCAAGCUGAUGAAAACAUAAAAGAUAAUUUUACUGCAAAAAAGAAGCUAGAGAAGGAGAGACCACUGCUUGUACAUGGAAGAGAUGAUAAUAAUACAAAACUGUUGAUAUAUACAUGUGUAGAGGAAUCAUUUCACAAGGAACAUUUGUUGUAAUUUAGUACCUUGAUCGAAAUGUAAUAUGUAAAAUACAAGACAUAAUAAAUCUCAAUUGAAACUUUACAUGUAUUUUUUACAAGUUCUAUAUGCUAUCUAUAAAGGAUUAAGCGCUUAAGAUAAUUGAAUAAGAAUAACCACUAAGAAAACAACACAAUUUAAUGCAGUAGAAAUUCUUGGUCUUUGAUUAAACAUUCUAUGUUUCAUGAAUCUUCACCAUGUUGUUGUAAUAUAUGAAAGCCAUGUAUGAAGGUUAUAGCUUCUAGUUACAAAACAAGAGCUAGUUCUAAAAAUAAGAAGUACAAAGAAAACAUAACAAAGAGAUGAGAAGAGGACAUGCCUGAUACUGCUUCUGUCUGAAACCAAAGCUCAAAAAUCAUCUUCCGUGGAUGAUGUCUUGUUUUCUUCUUUUCUUUUCUUGUAACAGCUUUGUUGAAUGAUCUUGUUCUGUAAAACUAGAAAGAGCUUUUAGAGAGAGAGAGAGCAAAAUGAGUAGAGAUUCUGAUAUGCUCAAAGUAAUAUUCAUUCAUGCAAAAUAUUC